CAUUAAGAAGCUAAACUGGGCCAUAGCAUUAGCCUUUUAAGCUAAAAAUGGUGACUCCCAACCACCCUUAAUGA
This 74-nucleotide transfer RNA is filed under the name Fluvitrygon signifer (white-rimmed stingray). RNAcentral describes it as "tRNA-Lys". It matches the Rfam family "tRNA". Rfam says of the family: Transfer RNA (tRNA) molecules are approximately 80 nucleotides in length. Their secondary structure includes four short double-helical elements and three loops (D, anti-codon, and T loops). Lineage: Eukaryota; Metazoa; Chordata; Chondrichthyes; Myliobatiformes; Dasyatidae. The record is from RNAcentral.